Molecule: unclassified non-coding RNA, 277 nt
Filed under: Hevea brasiliensis (rubber tree)
Lineage: Eukaryota; Viridiplantae; Streptophyta; Magnoliopsida; Malpighiales; Euphorbiaceae
Source: RNAcentral
CCUCCUCCUGGUAUUGAAAUGCCUGCGCUAUUGUUCAUCUUCAACCAGCAGCUGCACGACUACCUCCACCAAUAUGCACAGUUUGACUGGUGUGCACUUGAUCGAUUCUUUCGAGUCAGUUGAUCAUGAAGAAGAAAGAGAAGCGACAAUGUCAAUGAAGCCUUGGUUUGGAGCAAGAUUGAAGACCAGGGUCAUCUGAUUUGCUUAUGCUGCUUUUUUUUCCGCAAGCUUGAGCUUACUAGGCCACUUCUGUUCAAAGAUGGAGUCAAAGUUUGGA